AUACGGAGGGUGCAAGCGUUAUUCGGAAUCACUGGGCGUAAAGGACGCGUAGGCGGGUUGGCAAGUCAGAUGUGAAAUCCUACAGCUUAACUGUAGAACUGCAUUUGAAACUGCUAACCUAGAGUAUGGGAGGGGGAGACGGAAUUAGUGGUGUAGGGGUAAAAUCCGUAGAUAUCACUAGGAAUACCGAAAGCGAAGGCGAUCUCCUGGAACAUAACUGACGCUAAGGCGUGAAAGCGUGGGGAGCAAACAGGAUUAGAAACCCUAGUAGUCC
Molecule: ribosomal RNA, 274 nt
Filed under: uncultured bacterium
Lineage: Bacteria
Description: partial 16S ribosomal RNA
Rfam family: Bacterial small subunit ribosomal RNA
Source: RNAcentral